Long non-coding RNA from Hordeum vulgare subsp. vulgare (domesticated barley), 896 nucleotides. RefSeq lists it as uncharacterized. The transcript has 2 exons. NCBI's taxonomy places the organism in Eukaryota, Viridiplantae, Streptophyta, Magnoliopsida, Poales, Poaceae. The record is from RefSeq and is a predicted model, not a curated record.
UUAUCCACUCAUCCUACCUCCUACUGGCCUACCCACCACCAGCCGCCCCGCACUUCCUCCCUGAUAUGCGUCUGUCGCCUCGCUCCUCCACCGGGCCAAGCGUCCCUCCGUCGUGCUCCUUCACCGGGCCACACGUCCCUCCGCCGUGCUCCGUCUCUCGGUUACGCGGCUGUCGCCUCAAUCCUCCCCUGGCUCCGCAACCCAGGCUAGGCAUAACCCCGGCCGCCUCCUCUCCUUACCUAUUCCUGGCGACAAGCGCCGCACUCCAGCACCCAUAAAGGAUUUGGUCGUGCGACUUCUCCUGGUGAUGCAUGUCGUGCCCUAAAGGACCUGCUCCCCCAGUUCCCUGGGUAGCCGGUCGCGAGCCCGUUAUGCGUCCCUAUGGCGUCGGCUUUCCCCUCAGUCGUGUUGUGCCAGCUGUGCGCAUAAGGUCCACCAUCUUCUCUCGAUUCUGUAGUUCGAUUUGGUUGCUGAUCAACCAAUUCUAUCCAGAACCACCAGGAGCAGCAGCAAACACCAACAACGGCUAGAUGCAGCCGCAACUGUCCUUCAAUAUGCUACUGUAGACACAAGCGUUGAGGGAAGUACGCCUAGAACGCCAUCAAUUUCCUGUGCUUCCUAAAAAACAAGGGCCUCAUCGAUGAUGAGGUCGAAGAAGAAAAAAAUUGUGAAAUGGGGUGAGCGUUGCCUGAGAAGGUGGAGUGUGCUCCCGCAGUGAAGGAAUUCGAGAAGUUCCGUCGUUCAUUGACUCGCUGUAAAUUCUGAACUAGCUUUGUAUCUGCCAAUAGAAGUAGAAGUGUAGAACAAGUGGUACAUUCUGAACUGUGUCCAUUUUUUAUUCUGUUUGUGAUGCACACUGUUGUGUGUUUCUUCAAUCAAUUUUUUUUAUGCGAUCA